AACGAACGCUGGCGGCGGGCCUCAUACAUGCAAGUCGAGCGCGAAAGUCCGCAAGGAUGAGUAAAGCGGCGCACGGGUGAGUAACACGUGGGUAAUCUACCUCUUGGAUUGGAAUAACCUGUCGAAAGACGGGCUAAUGCCGAGUAAGUUCUCUUGAAUGUGAAGUUCGAGCGAAGAAAGAUGGCGCAAGCUAUCGCCGAGAGAUGAGCCUGCGUCCCAUAGUUAGUUGGUGGGGUAAUGGCUUACCAAGACAAUGAUGGGUACCUGGUCUGAGAGGAUGACCAGGCACACUGGAACUGAAACACGGUCCAGACUCCUACGGGAGGCAGCAGUAGGGAAUAUUGCGCAAUGGACGAAAGUCUGACGCAGCCACGCCGCGUGAGUGAGGAAGGCCUUGGUUG
RNAcentral lists this ribosomal RNA (401 nucleotides) under uncultured bacterium. RNAcentral describes it as "bacterial SSU rRNA". It matches the Rfam family "Bacterial small subunit ribosomal RNA", at positions 29 to 425 of the family's 1533-position model. The record is from RNAcentral.